Molecule: RNase P RNA, 330 nt
Filed under: human gut metagenome
Description: Bacterial RNase P class A
Rfam family: Bacterial RNase P class A
About the family: Ribonuclease P (RNase P) is a ubiquitous endoribonuclease, found in archaea, bacteria and eukarya as well as chloroplasts and mitochondria. Its best characterised activity is the generation of mature 5'-ends of tRNAs by cleaving the 5'-leader elements of precursor-tRNAs. Cellular RNase Ps are ribonucleoproteins.
Source: RNAcentral
AGUGGGUCGGACAACCGCGCAGCAAUGUGAGGAAAGUCCGGGCUUCAAAAGGCAAGAUGCCAGCUAACGGCUGGGCGGGGUGACCCGACGGAUAGUGCCACAGAAAAGAAAACUCCCCUCUUGUAGGAGAAAAGCUGAAACGGUGCGGUAAGAGCGCACCAGUGCGUUGGCAACAACGUAGCUUGGUAAACCCCAUCUGAAGCAAGCGUAAAUAGGAGCGCCAUACGGCUGCCUUUCCGUGCGUUCGGGUUACGUGCUAGAGUUUCGCGGCGACGCGGAAUCGAGAUAAAUGGUUGUCGAUUACAGAACCCGGCUUAUAGACCCACUCAU